GCCAUUUUGGCGGAGUUAGCGCGUAAAGUUUAGGACUUUAAGACGGGUUUUCCAAAUGGUA
Molecule: transfer RNA, 61 nt
Filed under: Echinogammarus veneris
Lineage: Eukaryota; Metazoa; Arthropoda; Malacostraca; Amphipoda; Gammaridae
Description: tRNA-Leu
Source: RNAcentral